GCAGGGGAUUGGCUAUAUGGUAGAGAGAGCUGCUGAGAGUUAACACGAGUGAUGAGGCAAUGCAGAGAUUAGCAUCAAGAAGCAGGAAGCCACUACCGACUCUGCUAAAGGAAAAAAGAAGGAACCAGAAGCUGAACCACAGUGGACCUGUUUUGGCAAGAGCUGGAACUACAGAGAAGACAGUCACUGCUGCAGAAAUCACCCAAGGAAACAAGGAGAGAAAUACCCUGGCUUCUCCCUCCUUUCUACCCUCCAUUUUUUGCCAGUGUGUCUUCCUGGCCUAACCCAACCAGCUGGAAGUCUGAGACACAAGAGCCUGUGAACUGCAGCCUGCAAGGAUCAGCCAUCGUGAACUAAAACACAGCAGGCAAAGAGGGAGGAUGGAUUCAGGGCAAACAGAUCCAGGACCAGUACUGCACCUUUAGGGAACUAAUUUACACUUCAGCAUCGAGGUUGCCUUCUUCAAAGUCACCACUCCAGCGGGGACAUCAUCUUGUCCACCAGAGCACCUGGAAUGCUGCUUUGGGAACAGGCCUGCAAGCAAAAGUUAAGUCUUGUGAGCUUUCUGAAUGGUGGCAAGCCAAACCUGGGCUUGAAUUUUGAGAAAGAUGCUUAGAUUUGAUAAAUGAAGCAUAUGAUCACUUAGUAAUGGGGUUUAGAAUGGAAAAAACAAGGCACGAGUUAGCAUAACCAAUAGCUAAUAUUGAUUGAGGCAGGCCAGGUACUACUCUAAGUGUUCUGGAUGGAUUAUCUUAUUUAAUUCUCACAGUAACCCUGUGAGUUGGCUAGUAUCACCUCUGCUUUACAGAUCAGGAAACUGAGGUAAGGUACAUUAAAUAAACACUCUCCAGUGACUAGAAUGGGAAAAAUAAUCUGCUAUUUUACAGUGUUUAUCUUUAUCAUUCUAAAAUGCGAAGAGAGCUGGGGACUGGGAAUGAGGAUCAGAGGCUUCUUCUUCUUAAUUCAUAAACCUCACAGCAGCCCACAUUUAACUUUUUAUAUAUCAAAAUUGUCAAAACAUUAAAUGAAGGUACCUUAAACAAUGUGCCCAAUGUUGCACAGAUACCUCUGAUUCCAGAAGCCUUGCUCUUAAGUAUUCAGUACAGUGUCUCCCUGAUUUACUUGAGUGGUUUAUACAUUGCUGAAUUGAGGAGUUAUCAAAGGGACUUCCUGACUCAACCUAUUAUUUUUUCACAGGUCCGUAAGGCCUGGAGUCUUACCAUUAGAGUUAAAUCUCAGGCGUUUUGUUUGACAAGGUCUCCUAUUGUUAAUUGGGAGAGUAUUUAUUUAAAUAUGCUUAAUAAAUUAAAAAGACUCAGAAAGCAGGGAGAAGCAUACAUGGAAAAUAAGACCAAUGAAUUUUGAUGGUGGAAAAAUAGCAAAAGACUCUAAUGCUACAAUUCCAUGGGAUGACAAUAGUAGUGUAUGUACCUCAUCCAUCCAUUCAUCUGUCCAUCCACCCAUCCAUUCAUUUAUUCCACAAAUGUUUAUUGAAGGUCUGUGUUGUUCCAGACAUCAUGCCAAAAACUGGCAUACAGUGUUGAGCAAAAGCAGAGCCAGCCCCUCUGAGAGAUGGGAGUCUAGUAGGAGAGAAAUAAAAUUUGAACUAUGACAGUGUCUGAGAAAGAGAAGAACAAGGUGCUAUGAGAACAG
Molecule: long non-coding RNA, 1653 nt
Filed under: Homo sapiens (human)
Lineage: Eukaryota; Metazoa; Chordata; Mammalia; Primates; Hominidae
Description: HSALNT0072296
Source: RNAcentral